RNAcentral lists this ribosomal RNA (253 nucleotides) under uncultured bacterium. Its description in RNAcentral is "partial 16S ribosomal RNA". It matches the Rfam family "Bacterial small subunit ribosomal RNA", at positions 524 to 776 of the family's 1533-position model. The record is from RNAcentral.
UACGGGGGGGGCAAGCGUUGUUCGGAAUUACUGGGCGUAAAGGGCUCGUAGGCGGCCAACUAAGUCGGACGUGAAAUCCCCAGGCUCAACCUGGGAACUGCGUCCGAUACUGGAUGGCUUGAAUUCGGGAGAGGGAUGCAGAAUUCCAGGUGUAGCGGUGAAAUGCGUAGAUAUCGUCUGGAACGCCAAAGGUGAAAACAGACUGCUGGGAGUGUGCUGACGCUGAGACACGAAAGCCAGGGGAGCAAACGGG